RNAcentral lists this unclassified non-coding RNA (398 nucleotides) under Helianthus decapetalus. RNAcentral describes it as "partial trnH-psbA intergenic spacer". The record is from RNAcentral. Lineage: Eukaryota; Viridiplantae; Streptophyta; Magnoliopsida; Asterales; Asteraceae.
CUCUACUAUUAUCUAGUAUUACUAUAUUUUUCCAUUAACAUAAAAAAGCAUAUUCUUUCUCAUUUUUAUUGAAUAAAUAAAAGUAAUAAAUAAGCAAAAUUUUCAUUUUUAUCUAUUUUCAAUUGAAUUUAAAUUGUAAAAAAAAAAACUUCCAUAAAAGAUUAGGAAAAGUAAAAGUAUAUGAUAUAGAAACCUAUAAUAUAAAUGAAUACAAAUAAAAACAAACAAAUCGAACCAAACUAUAAAAAGUACUUGUUAUUUUUAAAGUUUAAAGAAACUAUGUAAGGCAAAUAGUACUAAAUAAAAAAAAAGGAGCAAUAACGCCCUCUUGUUUUAUCAAGAGGGAAGCUAUUGCUCCUUUUUUAGUUCAAAAACUCCUAUACAAUCAGACCAAAGUC